UGAUAAUGGACAUUCUUACUGGGGUGAGGUAGAAUCUCAGUGUUGUUUUGAUUUGCAUUUCUUUUAUGGCCAGUGGUGUAGUGCACGUCAUGUAUCUCUGGGCCAUUUUAAUUUCCUCUUCUGAAGAGGAAGUCUCUUUUUAGUUCUUUAGCCCACAUGUUGAGGGGGCUGUUGUUUCUUUGAGGAUUUGUUUUG
Molecule: long non-coding RNA, 195 nt
Organism: Perognathus longimembris pacificus (Pacific pocket mouse)
Lineage: Eukaryota; Metazoa; Chordata; Mammalia; Rodentia; Heteromyidae
Exons: 3
Source: RefSeq, a predicted model, not a curated record